RNAcentral lists this non-coding RNA (188 nucleotides) under Desulfitobacterium metallireducens. RNAcentral also lists the same sequence under 1 other name. The record is from RNAcentral. Lineage: Bacteria; Bacillati; Bacillota; Clostridia; Eubacteriales; Desulfitobacteriaceae.
AUUAAAUAUCUGGACAUGAGUGAUUUUUCCUGAGGGAAAAAUUUAAAAGGGAAGUUAGUGCAAGCUAACGCGGUACCCGCCACUGUAAGAGGGAGUUAACUUACAUAGUGUCACUGGGGAUAUACCUGGGAAGACGUAAGUUGAUGAAGAUCUUGAGCCAGGAGACCUGCUCAUACCAAACAUUACGA